RNAcentral lists this long non-coding RNA (293 nucleotides) under Mytilus galloprovincialis (Mediterranean mussel). The record is from RNAcentral. Lineage: Eukaryota; Metazoa; Mollusca; Bivalvia; Mytilida; Mytilidae.
AACGAGCAAUUUUAUAAAAUAAAUUUGUCGUAAUCUCUUACGGUUGCGAAGGAGUCGUGAUCACAAGGAAAACAGUGUUUGGGGAGAUAACUCCUACAAAGAAAAGUAUUCGGUUACGCAGGGUAAAUUUUAAAAGCGCAUAAACUGUUCGAUAUCAUAUACCAAAUAUCUAAGCGACAUAUUGCGAAACAAAUAUUUAUCGCAAGAACAAAAUUAGGCGGAAGAAAAAAAAAAUAAUCAGAUGAAAAACAAUAGGAAUUCCCACAGAAAAGUGGAAAGACCUAAUUAAUAAC